Molecule: microRNA precursor, 154 nt
Filed under: Amborella trichopoda
Lineage: Eukaryota; Viridiplantae; Streptophyta; Magnoliopsida; Amborellales; Amborellaceae
Description: MIR8565 microRNA precursor family
Rfam family: MIR8565 microRNA precursor family
Source: Rfam by way of RNAcentral
CCCACACCCAUGCGUGUAGGACCCCAAAUGAUCACCAUUAAAUUUGGCACAGAUCUCUAAAAACGUUAUGAUAUGGGUGUGGGGUCUGACUUUUCUAGAGAUCUAUGCCAAAUUUAAUGGUGAUCUUUUGGGGUCUUACACACAUGGGUGUGGG